AGCAGCCGCGGUAAUUCCAGCUCCAAUAGCGUAUAUUAAAGUUGUUGCAGUUAAAAAGCUCGUAGUUGAAUUUCGGGACCAAUCUGCCGGUCGUGCCUCCGGUACGCACUGGUUUUAUUGGUUUCUCCCUUCUGACGAACCAUGAUGUCAUUAAUUUGGUGUCAUGGGGAAUCAGGACUGUCACUUUGAAAAAAUUAGAGUGUUUAAAGCAGGCUCACGCUUGAAUACAUUAGCAUGGAAUAAUGAAAUAGGACGUUUGAUUCUAUUUUGUUGGUUUCUAGGAUCGACGUAAUGAUUAAUAGGGAUAGUUGGGGGCAUUAGUAUUCAAUUGUCAGAGGUGAAAUUCUUGGAUUUAUUGAAGACUAACUACUGCGAAAGCAUUUGCCAAGGAUGUUUUCAUUAAUCAAGAACGAAAGUUAGGGGAUCGAAGACGAUCAGAUACCGUCGUAGUCUUAACCAUAAACUAUGCCGACUAGGGAUCGGAUGAUGUUAAUUUUUUAAUGACUCAUUCGGCGCCUUA
This 520-nucleotide ribosomal RNA is filed under the name uncultured Glomus. RNAcentral's name for it is "SSU rRNA". It matches the Rfam family "Eukaryotic small subunit ribosomal RNA", at positions 569 to 1090 of the family's 1831-position model. Lineage: Eukaryota; Fungi; Glomeromycota; Glomeromycetes; Glomerales; Glomeraceae. The record is from RNAcentral.